Molecule: ribosomal RNA, 252 nt
Filed under: uncultured bacterium
Lineage: Bacteria
Description: partial 16S ribosomal RNA
Rfam family: Bacterial small subunit ribosomal RNA
Source: RNAcentral
UACGUAGGGGGCAAGCGUUGUCCGGAAUUAUUGGGCGUAAAGCGCGCGCAGGCGGUCACUUAAGUUGGGUGUUUAAUCCCGGGGCUCAACCCCGGUUCGCAUCCGAAACUGGGUGACUUGAGUGUAGGAGAGGAAAGUGGAAUUCCACGUGUAGCGGUGAAAUGCGUAGAGAUGUGGAGGAACACCAGUGGCGAAGGCGACUUUCUGGCCUAUAACUGACGCUGAGGCGCGAAAGCGUGGGGAGCAAACAGG